AAGCAGGAGAGUUUAACCGAGGUAGCGUGGGACGCGUGAGGGGCGGACUCCCAAAGGGGAAAGAGCCAGUGUUAUUCCCCACCAUUAGGGAAACCCUGGAAACGGGUUUAAACAGGAAGGGCUUCGGAUGCCAUGGUUGGGGUGAAAACUUUGGCGGGUGGGAAGGCCCACCGCCCUUCAGGUUGUUGGUGGGUGAUGCCUACGAGGCGAGGACGGUUACGGGCCUGAAAGGUUUCCGGCCCCAAUGGGAUUGAGAUCCGCCCAAGCUCCUACGGGAGGCAGCAGUGGGGAAUAUUGCACAAUGGGCGCAACCCUGAUGCAGCGACGCCGCAUGAGGGAUGACGCCUUCUGGGUUGUAAACCUCUUUCAAUAGGGACGAAGCGCAAGUGACGGUACCUAUAGAAGAAGCACCGGCCAACUACGUGCCAGCAGCCGCGGUAAUACGUAGGGUGCGAGCGUUGUCCGGAAUUACUGGGCGUAAAGAGCUCGUAGGUGGUUUGUCGCGUUGUUCGUGAAAACUCACAGCUUAACUGUGGGCGUGCGGGCGAUACGGGCAGACUGGAGUACUGCAGGGGAGACUGGAAUUCCUGGUGUAGCGGUGGAAUGCGCAGAUAUCAGGAGGAACACCGGUGGCGAAGGCGGGUCUCUGGGCAGUAACUGACGCUGAGGAGCGAAAGCGUGGGGAGCGAACAGGAUUAGAUACCCUGGUAGUCCACGCCGUAAACGGUGGGUACUAGGUGUGGGUUUCCUUCCUUGGGAUCCGUGCCGUAGCUAACGCAUUAAGUACCCCGCCUGGGGAGUACGGCCGCAAGGCUAAAACUCAAAGGAAUUGACGGGGGCCCGCACAAGCGGCGGAGCAUGUGGAUUAAUUCGAUGCAACGCGAAGAACCUUACCUGGGUUUGACAUGCACAGGACGCCGGCAGAGAUGUCGGUUCCCUUGUGGCCUGUGUGCAGGUGGUGCAUGGCUGUCGUCAGCUCGUGUCGUGAGAUGUUGGGUUAAGUCCCGCAACGAGCGCAACCCUUGUCCUAUGUUGCCAGCGCGUAAUGGCGGGGACUCGUAGGAGACUGCCGGGGUCAACUCGGAGGAAGGUGGGGAUGACGUCAAGUCAUCAUGCCCCUUAUGUCCAGGGCUUCACACAUGCUACAAUGGCCGGUACAAAGGGCUGCGAUGCCGUGAGGUGGAGCGAAUCCUUGUAAAGCCGGUCUCAGUUCGGAUCGGGGUCUGCAACUCGACCCCGUGAAGUCGGAGUCGCUAGUAAUCGCAGAUCAGCAACGCUGCGGUGAAUACGUUCCCGGGCCUUGUACACACCGCCCGUCACGUCAUGAAAGUCGGUAACACCCGAAGCCGGUGGCCUAACCCGUUAGGGAGGGAGCCGUCGAAUGGUGAUGGGCAGGGGCC
Molecule: ribosomal RNA, 1400 nt
Filed under: Mycobacterium sp.
Lineage: Bacteria; Bacillati; Actinomycetota; Actinomycetes; Mycobacteriales; Mycobacteriaceae
Description: bacterial SSU rRNA
Rfam family: Bacterial small subunit ribosomal RNA
Source: RNAcentral